RNAcentral lists this ribosomal RNA (373 nucleotides) under uncultured bacterium. RNAcentral describes it as "bacterial SSU rRNA". It matches the Rfam family "Bacterial small subunit ribosomal RNA", at positions 28 to 404 of the family's 1533-position model. The record is from RNAcentral.
GACGAACGCUGGCGGCGUGCUUAACACAUGCAAGUCGAGCGGUAAGGCCCUUUCGGGGGUACACGAGCGGCGAACGGGUGAGUAACACGUGGGUGACCUGCCCUCAGCUCUGGGAUAAGCCUGGAAACCGGGUCUAAUACCGGAUAUGACUCCAUGACGCAUGUUGUGGGGUGGAAAGCCUUGUGCGGCUGAGGAUGGGCCCGCGGCCUAUCAGCUUGUUGGUGGGGUGAUGGCCUACCAAGGCGACGACGGUAGCCGGCCUGAGAGGGCGACCGGCCACACUGGGACUGAGACACGGCCCAGACUCCUACGGGAGGCAGCAGUGGGGAAUCUUGCGCAAUGGGCGAAAGCCUGACGCAGCGACGCCGCGUGA